This 305-nucleotide ribosomal RNA is filed under the name uncultured bacterium. RNAcentral's name for it is "bacterial SSU rRNA". It matches the Rfam family "Bacterial small subunit ribosomal RNA", at positions 335 to 656 of the family's 1533-position model. The record is from RNAcentral.
GUGCCUACGGGACGCCGCAGUGGGGCCUCUUGCACCCUGGGGGGAACCCUGAUGCAGCGACGCCGCGUGGGUGAAGGAGUAUUUCGGUAUGUAAAGCCCUAUCAGCAGGGAAGAACAAUGACGGUACCUGACUAAGAAGCACCGGCUAAAUACGUGCCAGCAGCCGCGGUAAUACGUAUGGUGCAAGCGUUAUCCGGAUUUACUGAGUGUAAAGGGAGCGCAGGCGGCGCGUUAAGCCUGGUGUGAAAGCCCGCGGCCCAACCGCGGGACUGCAUUGGGAACUGGCGCGCUGGAGUGCCGGAGGG